CUGAAGCUUCCUGCAUUUGGAGGAGCUGGACAGAAAAAGAGAAGAAAGAAAAUGUAUUAACAAAGGACUGUCUGUAAAAAGUAGUGAUGCUGGUCUCAUCUUGUCCUGUUGAUCUGAAGCUUCCUGCAUUUGGAGGAGCUGAGACAGAAAAAGAGAAGAAAGAAAAUGUAUUAACAAACGACUGUCUGUAAAAAAUGUAAAUGUUUCCUCUGGCUGUUAAAGAUGCUCCAUUUUGCAUCCCUACAUGAAUAAAAACGAAUGCUGUCUAUGAAAAAAAAACAACAAGUGAAUAAACUGUUUGCAUUACUAA
Molecule: long non-coding RNA, 310 nt
Organism: Thunnus maccoyii (southern bluefin tuna)
Lineage: Eukaryota; Metazoa; Chordata; Actinopteri; Scombriformes; Scombridae
Exons: 2
Source: RefSeq, a predicted model, not a curated record